RNAcentral lists this long non-coding RNA (1612 nucleotides) under Ursus maritimus (polar bear). Its description in RNAcentral is "lncRNA (ENSUMAG00000014294.1)". The record is from RNAcentral. Lineage: Eukaryota; Metazoa; Chordata; Mammalia; Carnivora; Ursidae.
GUUCUAUGAAAGAGUAUUCUAAAUUUCAAUCACCCUUUUGUAAACUCAACCCCUUUCUAGCUCAGAACUACCCUUAUUUUUGCUUCAAGUUUAAGUACUUAAAUAAUUCUGGUUCACGAACUUCUUAUUUCAACAGUUGGAAACAGUGACAAGCAUUAAGUUACAUUCUACCACAAUUCAGAGUUGAACUCGUCUUAUAAGUAAAUACAAUAAAGGAGUUGCUUUCAACUCAAGCAACAAAACAGUGAUCAUUUCAAGUAUGAGAAACUGCAAAGUGCCCCUACACGUAAAACUGUUUGCAGAAAGAGGUUUUGUUGUUGUUUUCAAACUCUUCCUAAGUCUCACUCUGACAGUUCUUGAAUAGCAGAGCAAACCCUGGGUUCAAAUCCCAGCUCACUGGUACAAGCUACUUAACCUCUUUGCGUCUCGGUUUCCUCGUCUAAAAAAUGAACACAAUGACCAGGGUUAUCACAAGGAUUAAAUGACGUCACACAGGUGAAUGUGCCAAAUUUGCACUGUGUACUCAAAAGAGUUUGGUAACCAUUUGAAAGAGAAAAACUACAGCACCCUGACCAAAUUAAAACAUCCGAGAGCAUGAACGAGUAUACAAGUCACAAAACGCCAGACCCUUAACACACAGCACAUUUUCUUUCCUGACGCAAGCUAUUUUUUUUUCCUGCCAAAUCUUUCCACUAGGGAGUCUGGAAAGAGGAGGGGGAAAAAAGGUUACAUUCAAUCCGGCAGAAAGUUUUCAGAAACUGAAGUGCAGAAUCACAACAGACAUGGCAGCGGAGGCCGCGCAGGACAACAGCGGAGAGAGACAAAUCGCGAGUAUCAGCCUCGCAGCUCCUGGGCGAAAGAGCCUGAAAAGCAGAGAGCCUGCGUAUGGAGUGCCCCGGAGCCCUGCUAAACAGAAUCCCAGAACACCGCUCUGGAAGAGAUGGUUCACCAUCACCAGCAAUCCCCUCCCCGAUCUGCUGAGCACUUUGCAUUUCUAGACCACAGUGCAGAGACUUGGGAUCAAGGCCUCACAGGUUAAGGAGGCUCGUGGAGCUGAAGAGGGCUCUGUUUUUACCACUGAGAAGAGAACCAUAAAAAGAAGUCCUCGUUUCCUAAAAGUUCAGGCAUGAUCAUACAGGUUUAAUUAGGAACAGCAAGCUGUUUACAGCAAAUUAUAAACUGUAUAAAGCAGACCUCAGUGGACACGCCCAAAGGAUGUCCCAUGAACCCUUACUUCUCCAAGUCCGGAUUCAGCAGAUCUGGCUUGGUGAGGUAGGGUGCUGCAAUACCAGCCAAAGGAGUAUCCCAGAAGUCCCUUUCCAGAAUGUUCCAUGACCAGAGGAGAUGGUCAAAUCGUUCACGGAAAAAUGUCUGUUUUUCUUUCCUUUUGUCCUUAAAACUUGAAGCCGAUCCACUAUUUUCUUGACUGCUACUGCACCCACCCAGUAGAGAGACACUUCAGAACAGGCUACGCAGCACGAGACUUCGGAGUCAGAAUUCUGGCUGAACUUCCGAAUUUUUGACCUUGUAUGGACUUUGUCAACCUCUCUAAAUCCCAGUCUCUUCACCUAUAAAAUGGGGAUAAAUAAAUAAUAUCAAAUCUAAUGAGACA